CAUAAAGUGAUCUAGGGUUCCGACAGUCUGAUUUUAGCAGCAGCUGUGCCUGAGACCGAGAGUUCACGGUUCGCAAGAACUGCACGGAGGGAUAAAAGCCCGGGAGGU
RNAcentral lists this small RNA (108 nucleotides) under Acinetobacter sp. Its description in RNAcentral is "Guanidine-I sequence". It matches the Rfam family "Guanidine-I riboswitch aptamer". From Rfam's summary of the family: This family represents a conserved RNA structure found upstream of the ykkC and yxkD genes in Bacillus subtilis and related genes in other bacteria. The function of this family is unclear although it has been suggested that it may function to switch on efflux pumps and detoxification systems in response to harmful environmental molecules. Lineage: Bacteria; Pseudomonadati; Pseudomonadota; Gammaproteobacteria; Moraxellales; Moraxellaceae. The record is from RNAcentral.